Molecule: ribosomal RNA, 406 nt
Filed under: uncultured bacterium
Lineage: Bacteria
Description: bacterial SSU rRNA
Rfam family: Bacterial small subunit ribosomal RNA
Source: RNAcentral
AGCGAACGUUAGCGGCGCGCCUAACACAUGCAAGUCGCACGAGAAAGGGAGCAAUCCCCGGUACAGUGGCGCACGGGUGAGUAACACGUAGAUGACCUUCCUGGAGUGGUGGAUAACCUGCCGAAAGGCGGGCUAAUACAGCAUGGGACCACAUGGUUUUGACCGAGUGGUGAAAGCGGGCCUCUGUUCACAAGCUCGCGCUCUGGGAUGGGUCUGCGUCCCAUCAGCUAGUUGGUGAGGUAAUGGCUCACCAAGGCAUCGACGGGUAGCUGGUCUGAGAGGAUGACCAGCCACACUGGAACUGAGACACGGUCCAGACUCCUACGGGAGGCAGCAGUGGGGAAUCUUGCGCAAUGGGCGAAAGCCUGACGCAGCGACGCCGCGUGGGUGAUGAAGGCCUCGGUUG